CUCUAACCAUUCGCCUUGCUUCCUUGAGCUUCUGGAAAUAAAAUAUACCCCUUUCUGUCUCAUUGGAGAUAUUUUUGCCAGAAGCUCAAGGAAGCAAGGUGAAUGGUUAGCGU
Molecule: non-coding RNA, 113 nt
Organism: Pelobates cultripes (western spadefoot toad)
Lineage: Eukaryota; Metazoa; Chordata; Amphibia; Anura; Pelobatidae
Source: the annotation of a GenBank genome assembly